RNAcentral lists this ribosomal RNA (497 nucleotides) under uncultured bacterium. RNAcentral's name for it is "partial 16S ribosomal RNA". It matches the Rfam family "Bacterial small subunit ribosomal RNA", at positions 28 to 507 of the family's 1533-position model. The record is from RNAcentral.
GAUGAACGCUGGCGGCAUGCCUAAUACAUGCAAGUCGAGCGAACACACGAGGAGCUUUCUCCUCUUGCGGUCGCGGCGGGCGGGGGAGUGAAACGUCGGUAACCUACCUUUAAGGCUGGGAUAACUUACUGGAACCGGAACUAAAAACGGCUAAAAGUUGUAACCUCAUGGUUCAAUACUUACAGGCGGUUUUCCUUUCACUUAUACAUGGAUGCGUGCGGCAUUAGCUAGGUGGUGAGGUAACGGCUUACCAAGGCACCGAUGCGUAGCAGAACUGAGAGGGUGAGUAGCCACACUGGAACUGAGACACGGUCCAGACUCCUACGGGAGGCAGCAGUAGGGAAUAUUGCGCAAUGGGCGCAAGCCUGAUGGAGCAACGCCGCGUGAGUGAUGAAGGUCUUCGGAUUGUAAAGUUCUGUCAGCAGGGAAGAAGGGAUGAAUAAGUAAACAUGCGCGUCUUGACGGUACCCGAACAGAAAGCCACGGCUAACUACGUG